CACAAUGUAGUCUUUAAAGAGUCUUUGUUUAGGGGGAGAUUUCUCCCAAUAAUUUUUAAGAUUUUUAAUUUUAUUUUUAAUAUGUAGGUCGUUUGGUCAAACCAUAUUUAAUAAUAUAUUUUUAGUUUAAUUUUCAUGUGUCGUCUGAUUUAUUGUCUUAUGGUUUGCAAACUAAAAGCUUCCUCAUGACGCCCUCUCAAUUUCAAACCCAACAAGUGGUAUCAGAGCUUACGGUUCAAUGGUCCAAUGGUGUGGUGAGACGAGAUUAAACAGGUUCAAAGCGGUUUCAAAAUCAAGCUGCAACCAAUUUGAUGAUAAUGAAGAUAUAUGUCCAAAAGCUACAUGUGGAGAUAAUUGUCAAUCAUAUUUUCAAUAAUCCUGUUGUCAUAUAUUUGAAAAUAAAGCUCACUUUUAACCCUGC
RNAcentral lists this long non-coding RNA (421 nucleotides) under Capsicum annuum. RNAcentral's name for it is "long non-coding RNA (CANN_LNC004567)". Lineage: Eukaryota; Viridiplantae; Streptophyta; Magnoliopsida; Solanales; Solanaceae. The record is from RNAcentral.